UCUGGAGAUCACAGAAUCACAGAAUGUCAGACAUUGGAAGCGAUCUCGAGAGAUCCUUGAGCCUAACUCCAUGCCAAAAGCCGGAUCACCUAGGAUAGAGUGCACAGGAAUGCAUCCAGUUAGAUUUGCACUGUGCUAGCUGAAUAUUCUGCAUACGUUAGAUGAGAGACAGAACUGAGGAAACAUGACAUACAGAGAGCCAAGAAGCAAUCUGUCAAGUUACAAAACCUUUUGCCACAAAUUUACUUCCAGACUACUGAACUGAGAUGAUAGGCUUGUAAGCCUGAAGGAAGUCAGGAAAAGGGAAGGAAGCUGCUGGAAGAGAGAAGAAGUUGGCAUACCUUCCCUUUGUUGAAGUAAUGGAUAAUCUUACGGCACAGACCUUCCUUACGUUGCCACUCUGACUGAGAUGGAUAAUGCAGGAACUCUCUCAGAGGUCUGUCCUCCCACUGAAGCAACUCACAGUACAAAAGCAAAGUAAAAGCAGCCUCUGUUGGAAAUGCAGUUAUUGAACACUGAAUCAAUGACAACAAAUAAAUACAGACAAAAGACUCAAAGGUCACCUGA
Molecule: long non-coding RNA, 567 nt
Organism: Pogoniulus pusillus (Red-fronted tinkerbird)
Lineage: Eukaryota; Metazoa; Chordata; Aves; Piciformes; Lybiidae
Exons: 3
Source: RefSeq, a predicted model, not a curated record